AAUUUGAGAUUUGAAAUUUAAAAUUAAAAUUUAAAAUUUAAAAUCUAUAUUUCAAAUUUUAAAAUUUAAAAGUUAAAAUUUAAAAAUUUUAAAAUGAAUCUGAAAAUUAAAAUUUAAAAUUUAAAAUUUAAAAUUUAAAAUUAAAAUUAAAUUUAAAUAUAAAAACUAAAAUAAAAAUAAAAUUUUGAAGUUUAAAUCCAAAAUCAAAAUCAGUUUUGAAGAAGGAGCUUUUUUCUGCUUCUGAUUCUGAGGCCUUCAAAAUUAGUUUUCUGAUUCUAAAAAGCAGAAUCAGAUUUUAAAAGUGAGUUGCCAAACGCUCUAUUGAGUCGAAAAUCACUUUUCAGCCCAAAAGCGCUUUUUAAAAGCUAGGCCAAACACCCCCUAAUAUAGGGUAAAAUGUAUAUUGUAGGGUAAUUUUGGUAUUGAGGGUAUGUUGGACUAAAAAAAUAUAUAGUGAUAUAUAUUUCUCUCUUUUUAGUUAGGAUAAAAACAUAUAAAGAUAUACUACUCUAUUUUCUGAUACUGUCGAUAGAAAUUAUAUAUUAACAAAUUAAUUACAAUAUACGCAACAUAAUAUUAUUCACAAAGACAAAAAAAUAUAUUGCCCUUGCUUUAAUUUGGACCGCAUGUAGUGCAUUCUAUUGUAAUUCCAAACAGAGUCUAAAUCUAAUACGACAGAAAAUAUACUACUCUGUUUUCUGAUACUGUCGAUAGAAAUUAUAUAUUAACAAAUUGAUUACAAUAUACGCAACAUAAUAUUAUUCACAAAAACAAAAAAAAAUAUUGCCCUUGCUUUA
This 797-nucleotide long non-coding RNA is filed under the name Ananas comosus (pineapple). Its description in RNAcentral is "long non-coding RNA (ACOM_LNC037863)". The record is from RNAcentral. Lineage: Eukaryota; Viridiplantae; Streptophyta; Magnoliopsida; Poales; Bromeliaceae.